Molecule: non-coding RNA, 75 nt
Organism: Podarcis lilfordi (Lilford's wall lizard)
Lineage: Eukaryota; Metazoa; Chordata; Lepidosauria; Squamata; Lacertidae
Source: the annotation of a GenBank genome assembly
UCCCACAGGUAGCUCAGUUGGUAGAGCAUGAGACUCUUGAUGUCAGGGCUGUGAGCUUGAGUCCCACGUUGGGCA